This 324-nucleotide RNase P RNA is filed under the name Candidatus Woesearchaeota archaeon. RNAcentral's name for it is "RNase P RNA component". It matches the Rfam family "Archaeal RNase P". From Rfam's summary of the family: Ribonuclease P (RNase P) is a ubiquitous endoribonuclease, found in archaea, bacteria and eukarya as well as chloroplasts and mitochondria. Its best characterised activity is the generation of mature 5'-ends of tRNAs by cleaving the 5'-leader elements of precursor-tRNAs. Lineage: Archaea; Nanobdellati; Candidatus Woesearchaeota. The record is from RNAcentral.
UGUAGGUUGACUAUGAGGCUAACGGAUAAUUUGUUUAUCUGAGGAAAGUCCACACACCAUUAAUCUGCUUGUGGCAACGCAAGAAGGGGAAACUCUUGGCAAGCCGUACAGAAACUAGACCACCUUUUGACAAUGGAAUGAUAAGCUCGAAGACAAACGGUAACGAUUGUCCAGUAAGACUUUGACGUCUCAAAAGGAAAGGAUGAAAUAUGAGAACCCAGAAGGUGCAAGUCUUUGACGCAUAGUUGAAUGCCUUAACAAGCCAUCGCAGCUCCAAGUGAACUGUUUGGGCUUAUGACAGAAUGUGGCUUAUUGCAACCUACA